CUGCCACUCUGCAACUGCCACUCUGCAACGGUUUCCCACAGGACAUCUUCUGGAUAUAUGCCCAGGAGAGGGUACCACUGCUGAUGCCACAGACAGAGUGUGAAGGAGUUGAGGAUGGAGAUACGCAGUUGAAGAUAAAAGCUGGGCUGACUGUUAUGUAAUCUGUAUCCCUGCUUUAAAGCAUCUACUAACUGAGUUGCUGCAGUUUUUCUGAGGAAGUUGCAUUCUAAAUGUGCACAGUACAAAGUGAUUCUAUUCUUCUGUCUCAAGAAGCGAUCAUGAGACAUUAGAAGACUAGAGUGCAAUACUAAUCAGAUACAUUUCUAAAUGAGACAAUACUGUUGAAUAAUUACCAAGACAAAUGGACUGGGACUCAUUUGCCACAUGGCUGCUAUGCUUGGAUCAAAGGUCACAAGGUAUCCACUCUGUCUGAGAUGCCCAUCUGCCACAAUGUGCUAAUUACAGAUGAGAGAUUUGAAGACAAGUGGGAUAAGCAUCAUUUCAAACAUCAUGUACAUAGUGGAACCAAAGGCCAAAUUUAAGUUUAUGAAUUCAAAUUUCUUUCUUUCUCACACUACCAUAGCAUUUUAAGACACAAGUGAGGAUAAUAGGAAAGAAGCCUGCUCUCACUGACAUUCUCCUUCCAACAGUGGUCCUUUUCCUAACCCUCUCAAACAGUUCUGCCAAGUGGCAAACAAAUAUUCAAAUAUAAGAGCCUUUGGAGGCCAUUCUCAUUCAAACCACCAUGAUCUACCUCUCCUAUUCUAUAGUCAUAAUUUCAAGAAUUAUUCACAAUGAGGAUUUAUACAUCACUGGUUUUGUAAAUUUCCAUUAGUCCAAUUUACAGUGCUCAUGUUGUUACAUUCAAAAUUGUUGGUAAUUUUAUGGUCCACAAUAAAGUGCUAAUUUGUUUAUGUACCAAA
This 923-nucleotide long non-coding RNA is filed under the name Mus musculus (house mouse). Its description in RNAcentral is "predicted gene, 48539". The record is from RNAcentral. Lineage: Eukaryota; Metazoa; Chordata; Mammalia; Rodentia; Muridae.